UGGGAGGAGCUGCUAGAAUGCAUUGCCCUGCAUGCUCUGUCCCUUGAGUCGGAUGCCAUGUCUUUUCAUUUGGAGCCCAAUGGGAACUUUUCCACCAGGUCCUUGUACCAGACCCUGGUGGCUACUCCUGGGGCUCAGGAGUUAAAUCUCCAUUGGGAGAUUAGAGUACCACUCAAGAUUCAAAUCUUCCUUUGACAAUGGGUGUGGGGCCGCCUCCCAUCCGGUACGGAAGUGCGCAAGCGCAAUGGCCCUGUGGAUGGUAAUUGUCCCCUGUGCGGUGUCCUUGAGGACACUAACCAUAUUUUCUUCCGUUGUCCGGCUGCAAUUUUCUUAUGGAGCUGCCUUCAAGAGACAGUGGGAGGCAACUGGGCCCAUGACAACCUCCCGGAUCUCUUCCGGGAAAUUAUUGAUUCCCUGUGUAGAACUCUCCCUGCCCAUUGGGUGGCGAUUAGUGCACUAGCUUGGACGCUCUGGAAUGUGCACACUAAACUUGUGAUUGAACAUGUGAUUCCGCUUUGGACGACUGACGCCAUUUACAAAAUGUGCGGAUUCUUGCAGGUCUGGCGGCCGUUUAGCAAGCGGCGUCAUCGGGACGGCAUCAACACCAUCAUCGCCGGACUUUGCUCCACCGCCAUCUCCCUCGCGCCACCGUUACCUCCUCCACCCCCGGAGCCUGAUUAG
This 681-nucleotide ribosomal RNA is filed under the name Triticum aestivum (bread wheat). RNAcentral's name for it is "partial small subunit ribosomal RNA". Lineage: Eukaryota; Viridiplantae; Streptophyta; Magnoliopsida; Poales; Poaceae. The record is from RNAcentral.